RNAcentral lists this transfer RNA (83 nucleotides) under Canis lupus familiaris (dog). It matches the Rfam family "tRNA". From Rfam's summary of the family: Transfer RNA (tRNA) molecules are approximately 80 nucleotides in length. Their secondary structure includes four short double-helical elements and three loops (D, anti-codon, and T loops). Lineage: Eukaryota; Metazoa; Chordata; Mammalia; Carnivora; Canidae. RNAcentral also lists the same sequence under 2 other names. The record is from Rfam by way of RNAcentral.
GCCCAGGUGGCUCAGUGGUUGAGCGUCUGUCUUUGGCUCAGGGCACGAUCCCAGGGUCCUGGGAUCAAGUCCCACAUUGGGUU